RNAcentral lists this ribosomal RNA (797 nucleotides) under uncultured Methanosarcinaceae archaeon. Its description in RNAcentral is "bacterial SSU rRNA". It matches the Rfam family "Archaeal small subunit ribosomal RNA", at positions 85 to 879 of the family's 1478-position model. Lineage: Archaea; Methanobacteriati; Methanobacteriota; Methanomicrobia; Methanosarcinales; Methanosarcinaceae. The record is from RNAcentral.
ACUGCUCAGUUAACACGUGGAUAACCUGCCCUUGGGUCCGGCAUAACCCCGGGAAACUGGGGAUAAUUCCGGAUAACGCAUAUAUGCUGGAAUGCUUUCUGCGUAAAAUGGAUUCGUCUGCCCAAGGAUGGGUCUGCGGCCUAUCAGGUAGUAGUGGGUGUAAUGUACCUACUAGCCUACGACGGGUACGGGUUGUGAGAGCAAGAGCCCGGAGAUGGAUUCUGAGACAUGAAUCCAGGCCCUACGGGGCGCAGCAGGCGCGAAAACUUUACAAUGCGGGAAACCGUGAUAAGGGGACACCGAGUGCCAGCAUCAUAUGCUGGCUGUCCAGGUGUGUAAAAUACACCUGUUAGCAAGGGCCGGGCAAGACCGGUGCCAGCCGCCGCGGUAACACCGGCGGCCCGAGUGGUGAUCGUGAUUAUUGGGUCUAAAGGGUCCGUAGCCGGUUUGGUCAGUCCUCCGGGAAAUCUGAUAGCUUAACUAUUAGGCUUUCGGAGGAUACUGCCAGACUUGGAACCGGGAGAGGUAAGAGGUACUACAGGGGUAGGAGUGAAAUCUUGUAAUCCCUGUGGGACCACCUGUGGCGAAGGCGUCUUACCAGAACGGGUUCGACGGUGAGGGACGAAAGCUGGGGGCACGAACCGGAUUAGAUACCCGGGUAGUCCCAGCCGUAAACGAUGCUCGCUAGGUGUCAGGCAUGGCGCGACCGUGUCUGGUGCCGCAGGGAAGCCGUGAAGCGAGCCACCUGGGAAGUACGGCCGCAAGGCUGAAACUUAAAGGAAUUGGCGGGGGAGCAC